This 68-nucleotide transfer RNA is filed under the name Tetraleurodes mori (mulberry whitefly). RNAcentral's name for it is "tRNA-Gly". Lineage: Eukaryota; Metazoa; Arthropoda; Insecta; Hemiptera; Aleyrodidae. The record is from RNAcentral.
GUUUCAUUAGUAUAUUUAAUUAAGUACAGUUAACUUCCAAUUAACAAGUUUAUAUUUUAAAUGAAAUU